UUAAAUUUAAAAUUUAUUUAAUAUUUAAUUUAUUGAGUUUUAGUUAAAAUAAUAAAAUUUUGAGUAAUUUGUAUUGAAACAAUUAAUUUAAUGAUAGUUUACUUAACUGUAAAGGUUAUUUUAAUUUUAUAAAAGCAUAAUUUAUUUUAGUACCUUUUGUAUCAGGGUUUAUUAAAAAAUUAUAUUUACAGAUAUUUUUCUCGAAAUUAAAGGAGAUAAGUUUUUAUGUUUUUUUAUGUAAUAAAAUAAUUUAUAAUAAAAACUUAGUAAUUAUAUGUUAUUCAACUUUAUAUAUCUAGUUGUUUAAUAAAUAAAUUUAAUUUAUAAUUAUUAAAGUUAAUAUAUGUAUAUAUUUUAUUUAAUUUAAUAAUUAAAUGAUUUGGGGGAUAAGCUCUGGAUUUAUUCUAUAAUUUAUUUUGAUUUUAAUAUAAAUAGGCUUAGAAACAGCUAUUUAAAUUUCGUUAUAGUUUAUAUUAAUUAAGUUUUUAUUUUUUAAUAUUUAGAUUUUUAUUAAACCUAAUUAAAUAAUUUUAUUUUAGUUGUGAUAAUGAUAAAAUUAGUAGAUUUGUAAUUUCAAGUAUAGUAAUUCGGCAAUUUUUAUCUUCGCCUGUUUAACAAAAACAUGUCCUAUAGGUUAAUAAUUUUAGGUCUAGCCUGCUCAAUGAUUUAUUAAAUAGCCGCAGUAUAUUAACUGUGCAAAGGUAGCAUAAUCAUUUGUUCUUUAAAUGGGAACUUGUAUGAAUGGCUGAACGUGGGAUAAACUUUCUUUACUUGAUUUAAUUGAAUUUGAUUACUUAGUUAAAAAGCUGAGAUAUUUUUGUUAGACGAGAAGACCCUAUAGAAUUUUAUUAUUAUUAAUUAUUUUGAUAUAGUUUUUAAAAAUUUAUUUAUUAAUAAUUUUGUUGGGGUGACAUUGAAAAUUCUUUAACUUUCAAUAUAAAUUUUUCAUUAAUAAAUGUUUAUUUGAUCCUUUAUUUGGAUAAUAAGUUUAAAUUACCUUAGGGAUAACAGCGUAAUUUUUUCGGAGAGUUCAUAUCGAUGAAAGAGUUUGCGACCUCGAUGUUGGAUUAAAUUUAAGUUUUGGUGUAGCAGUUUUAUACUUAGGUCUGUUCGACCUUUAAAAAUUUACAUGAUCUGAGUUCAGACCGGCGUGAGCCAGGUUGGUUUCUAUCUACAAUAAGAUUAUAUAUUUUAGUACGAAAGGACCAUUUAUAUAUAAAAUUUAUUAUAUUUUGUUUUACAUUAA
RNAcentral lists this ribosomal RNA (1246 nucleotides) under Oxycarenus lugubris. Its description in RNAcentral is "16S ribosomal RNA". The stretch from base 818 to 1177 matches the Rfam family "Archaeal large subunit ribosomal RNA", at positions 2150 to 2716 of the family's 2987-position model. The record is from RNAcentral. Lineage: Eukaryota; Metazoa; Arthropoda; Insecta; Hemiptera; Oxycarenidae.